This is a long non-coding RNA of Centropristis striata (black sea bass), 477 nucleotides long. RefSeq lists it as uncharacterized. The transcript is spliced from 3 exons. The record is from RefSeq and is a predicted model, not a curated record. Lineage: Eukaryota; Metazoa; Chordata; Actinopteri; Perciformes; Serranidae.
UUUUGCAUCCGCGUCAUUGGUGCGUCACUUCCGGGUUCCCGGUUGUUUAGCCGACAGGGUGAUUGUUUGCAUGCUGCUCUGGGCAACUCAUAUGCGGCGGUGCCUUCUGUUUGGUGAAUGCCAGCAGCGGCCGGUGUCCUCUCUCCCUCUCUCCUCCUUGAGAGUAUGUGUGUGUCCCUAACAGGUAUGUGUGUAUUAGUAUGGUCAACUACAGUAUUAUAAUAUCAAGCCGUAAUGCUAACAGUAUCUCUUUCUAAUUAGGAGUGUGCAAUUAGCUGGUGGUUGCUGCUGCUUUGUCUCCGCGGCUGUCUCCGCGGCCGCUCUGUCUUUAUUAAAGACUGUCCAUACUAAAGACGUUGGGCCUCAUUCAUGAAACGUGAGCAGAACGAAUUUGUGUGUAAACCGUUCGCAGACGGAAAUUUACGUGCAUCUCCGCAUUCAUCAAUAUUUUAGUAGCUCCGAUCUUUUCGUAGCUAC